GAAUUUCUAACAGCGGUAAACUUCUGUUGCCUUUACUUAAAGUUAAAUGAUUAUGUCUCUUUCUCAGAUACUAUAAGCAGAACGUCAACUAUAUGUGGUGUAUGGAAUGAUUGUAAGGGGUAUAAGUAAUUUACCUCACUUCAUAGUUCAUUUUGUAAAUGAUACGUUUUUGUAAGUUUGUUACAUACUAAUAGCAACGGGUGAACUAUAUUUGGUGCAUGCAAGUAUUGUAAGGUGUACAUGUCUUUCUGGCCAUGUUCAUCUGCCCAUGACCUCAUCAUAUAUUAUUAAUGAUUAUUUUAAGUUUUAUGUGAUACUUGUAAAAACGUUAUUUUUCUGACUUUAAAUAUAAAUUAAUAAUAAAGUAAGACAGGCUAGAC
RNAcentral lists this long non-coding RNA (380 nucleotides) under Mytilus galloprovincialis (Mediterranean mussel). Lineage: Eukaryota; Metazoa; Mollusca; Bivalvia; Mytilida; Mytilidae. The record is from RNAcentral.